Molecule: ribosomal RNA, 262 nt
Filed under: uncultured bacterium
Lineage: Bacteria
Description: partial small subunit ribosomal RNA
Rfam family: Bacterial small subunit ribosomal RNA
Source: RNAcentral
AGGACGAACGCUGGCGGCGUGCUUAACACAUGCAAGUCGAGCGGUAAGGCCUCCUUCGGGGGGGUACACGAGCGGCGAACGGGUGAGUAACACGUGAGUAACCUGCCCUGGACUUUGGGAUAACCCUCGGAAACGGGGGCUAAUACCGGAUAUGACACGGUUUUGCAUGAGGCUGUGUGGAAAGUUUUUUCGGCUGGGGAUGGGCCCGCGGCCUAUCAGCUUGGUUGGUGGGGUGAUGGCCUACCGAAGGCGGUGACGGGUA